UGAAAUGCUUUGAAAAAGAGGAGUAAAGGUUAAUAGUUCUAAGAGAGGAAAGUUCAUAGGCUGAAAGACUUUCUGUGCAAAUGACCUUGAAGGUAGCUUUGGAGCUUCUUUGCUGAAAUCUUAGUAGGCAAAGACGGGUUUAAUCAUCCGUUAAUAAUAUGAGAGCUUGAGUUUUACUCAAGAAAAAAGGUGGUAACGCGCGCUGUCGUCCUUUUA
RNAcentral lists this non-coding RNA (216 nucleotides) under Clostridium sp. Its description in RNAcentral is "T-box sequence". It matches the Rfam family "T-box leader". From Rfam's summary of the family: Uncharged tRNA acts as the effector for transcription antitermination of genes in the T-box leader family. T-boxes are found upstream of many aminoacyl-tRNA synthetase genes and some amino acid biosynthetic genes usually in Gram-positive bacteria. The anticodon of a specific tRNA base pairs to a specifier sequence within the T-box motif, and the NCCA acceptor tail of the tRNA base pairs to a conserved bulge in the T-box antiterminator hairpin. Lineage: Bacteria; Bacillati; Bacillota; Clostridia; Eubacteriales; Clostridiaceae. The record is from RNAcentral.